UUUGACUGGGGCGGUCUCCUCCUAAAGAGUAACGGAGGAGCACGAAGGUUGGCUAAUCCUGGUCGGACAUCAGGAGGUUAGUGCAAUGGCAUAAGCCAGCUUGACUGCGAGCGUGACGGCGCGAGCAGGUGCGAAAGCAGGUCAUAGUGAUCCGGUGGUUCUGAAUGGAAGGGCCAUCGCUCAACGGAUAAAAGGUACUCCGGGGAUAACAGGCUGAUACCGCCCAAGAGUUCAUAUCGACGGCGGUGUUUGGCACCUCGAUGUCGGCUCAUCACAUCCUGGGGCUGAAGUAGGUCCCAAGGGUAUGGCUGUUCGCCAUUUAAAGUGGUACGCGAGCUGGGUUUAGAACGUCGUGAGACAGUUCGGUCCCUAUCUGCCGUGGGCGCUGGAGAACUGAGGGGGGCUGCUCCUAGUACGAGAGGACCGGAGUGGACGCAUCACUGGUGUUCGGGUUGUCAUGCCAAUGGCACUGCCCGGUAGCUAAAUGCGGAAGAGAUAAGUGCUGAAAGCAUCUAAGCACGAAACUUGCCCCGAGAUGAGUUCUCCCUGACCCUUUAAGGGUCCUGAAGGAACGUUGAAGACGACGACGUUGAUAGGCCGGGUGUGUAAGCGCAGCGAUGCGUUGAGCUAACCGGUACUAAUGAACCGUGAGG
RNAcentral lists this ribosomal RNA (653 nucleotides) under Escherichia coli. RNAcentral describes it as "partial 23S ribosomal RNA". It matches the Rfam family "Bacterial large subunit ribosomal RNA", at positions 2269 to 2916 of the family's 2925-position model. Lineage: Bacteria; Pseudomonadati; Pseudomonadota; Gammaproteobacteria; Enterobacterales; Enterobacteriaceae. The record is from RNAcentral. RNAcentral also lists the same sequence under 1 other name.